AAUGGUGAACCAUUUUGUUCAGGAGUUCAAGAGAAAGAACAAGAAGGACAUCAGUGGCAACCCCAGAGCUCUCAGGAGGCUGAGGACGUCCUGUGAACGUGCUAAGAGAACUCUCUCGUCAACUGCUCAGACCACUAUUGAGAUUGAUUCGUUGUAUGAGGGUAUUGACUUCUACUCCACCAUCACUCGUGCCAGGUUCGAGGAACUUAACAUGGAUUUAUUCAGAAAAUGUAUGGAACCAGUUGAGAAGUGUUUGAGAGAUGCCAAGAUGGACAAGAGCUCUGUACAUGAUGUUGUGCUUGUUGGUGGCUCAACGAGAAUUCCCAAGGUCCAGCAGCUUCUGCAGGACUUCUUUAAUGGCAAGGAGCUUUGCAAGAGCAUCAACCCUGAUGAAGCAGUUGCUUAUGGUGCUGCUGUGCAAGCUGCAAUUUUGAGCGGUGAAGGCAACGAGAAGGUUCAAGAUUUGUUGCUGUUGGAUGUUACUCCUUUGUCGCUCGGUUUAGAAACUGCCGGAGGUGUAAUGACUGUGUUGAUCCCAAGAAAUACAACCAUUCCAACCAAGAAAGAGCAAGUUUUCUCUACAUACUCGGACAACCAACCCGGUGUCCUGAUCCAGGUGUACGAGGGAGAAAGAGCGAGGACCAAGGACAACAACUUGUUAGGCAAGUUUGAGCUCUCUGGCAUCCCACCUGCACCAAGGGGCGUUCCUCAAAUCAAUGUCUGCUUCGACAUUGAUGCCAAUGGCAUACUGAAUGUGUCCGCAGAGGACAAAACUACUGGACAGAAGAACAAGA
RNAcentral lists this unclassified non-coding RNA (794 nucleotides) under Hevea brasiliensis (rubber tree). The record is from RNAcentral. Lineage: Eukaryota; Viridiplantae; Streptophyta; Magnoliopsida; Malpighiales; Euphorbiaceae.